RNAcentral lists this long non-coding RNA (1069 nucleotides) under Pogona vitticeps (central bearded dragon). RNAcentral's name for it is "lncRNA (ENSPVIG00000005320.1)". Lineage: Eukaryota; Metazoa; Chordata; Lepidosauria; Squamata; Agamidae. The record is from RNAcentral.
UGCAGAUUUUCUGCAUCACCAGGAUAUUGAAUUAAGAGGAUUCUUCGGGUUUCUUUCAAUUCUGUAUGCCUGCAAUAUGUUUCUAUGAAACAUGCAUGGUUUUUCUUGCUGCAAACAUUUUGCUUGGUGGACUUGCAGCAAGGUGACCAAGCCAAACCCAUCAGAAAAAAAGAGUGAGAAAGGUUAAUACAGCCUGCCACAUAGCAAUGCUGACCUGACUGGCCUGUGAGGAACCUAUCUAAGCCUUGCCUUUUAUAUGUAUCUUAUCAUUUGGGGGCUGUUGAAAUCAACGCUGGAACACAGGUUACAACCCACUCAUGUAAUGGAUCUGCUUCAGGGAUUUCCUCUUUCAUAUGGAAAAAUGUUUCCAAGAGUAACUAAAAUCUGCCGUGUGGUACACUUGGGUUUCCUAAUGUCUCUGUGGCAGUGGAACGGUUUCUAAUGUUCCAGGAGUGCUGAGGGAUAUGGAAUCAGCGAGAGACAUGUUGAGGCAACUGUAUUGGAUAGGUUUUCCCACCUGCUUGAUGGGUCUGAUGUGAACAAGGUAAUUUAAAACUCACUCUUCUCAGAUUUCCCCCUAAUCAAACGAAAAGACAUGUGUGCCGAUGGAGAUAGAGAAUGAAAUUACCUGCUCUCCAGAAAUGUCAAAACACACUUAACCGAGACUCAGCCAAAAGCAGGUAUUUUCAUUGGAUGCCUUGUCUUAUUGUAUCCAUUGCAGAUCCCAUGGCAGAAUUUCCUCUGUAUUAUUGGAUGUAAUCAUGAUGUAAAGGGACAUUAUCUGAUUCCAUCUUAAUGAACUGAGAUUGUAACUACAGGAAAAAUGGUGAGGAUGUGACUCUGUUGUUCAGUCACUGAAAAAUCAUAAAGUCUGGAUUCCUGUUCAGCCUGUGAUAUGGGCUAGGACUUUAGAGGGAAUUAUGGGAGACUGAGGAAUUAGAUGGCAUGCUUUAGGAUCUUUAAGGUGAUAUGCCAAUAGGAAUUCUUGCUGGAUUCCCAAAGAAGUCAAAAGCAUAUUGUUCCAAGCAUUUAAAGUACGAAUAAAGACCAUGAGGCCUAGUUAGUCCCA